This 841-nucleotide long non-coding RNA is filed under the name Ricinus communis (castor bean). RNAcentral describes it as "long non-coding RNA (RCOM_LNC002998)". Lineage: Eukaryota; Viridiplantae; Streptophyta; Magnoliopsida; Malpighiales; Euphorbiaceae. The record is from RNAcentral.
CAGUAAAAUUAAUUAUUACAACUCUUCUUACAACUAAUAAACUUAAGAAAAACGAUUAAACUAAGUCACAAUUGGCAAAAAUCAGCAAAAGGGCUUGCAAAUUUGUCAAUUAGGGCAAUUUAGAGCGAACAACCGAUUGAUGACAUCACAGAAUUGAUCAGCUUGACGCAUAGCCGAUCGGCUCUAAGCUCUUGCUCAACCCGAUUUUACUUGGUUUAAGGUCUUUUCCCACCUGAAAUCCUAUUUACAUGCAAAACACAUAAAAUAUGAUUAAUAUAUGUAAAAAGGCAUGAAAUAAAUAAAAUGGUUGAUUUUAAAACAAAAACAAGUAAAACUACCAAAAAUAAAUUUACAGUAGACAAAAACUUUUUUAUGGAAAUUCUCUAAAAUUAAUCAUGGAUCCGAAAUUAGGUCUAAUCAUUUGUACAUGCAUAUCAUCGUCAAAAUAAAGUAAUCCUAACAUGCUAUCCUACACAUAUGAUCAUCAAACCUAUAACCCGACAUGUUAUGAGAUUCAAAACACAACAUGCAAACAUAGAGAUAUCUAAGAUUACUAAAACUCUAGAUCUAAACAUACAAAACAUCACAAAUAGCAUAAAUUCAUCCUAACAUAUUUCAAGUAACAUAAAAUUAAAAGAAAAAAGUAGAGAGGAUGCUAAUGAUGUUGCAUUUAAAACCCUCAGGUUGUCAUCGUAUUGUAUUGAUCCUCGAGUCUCUGGUGAUGAGGAGGAUGCAGAAUCGAAUAUGGAUACAAAUCUAUAGUUUUUGGCAUUUUUUUUUAUGGUAGUUGAUCUUUGAGAAAAGUCUUUUUUUUUUUUUGAAAAAUCUAUUAUCGUUUUAU